Molecule: unclassified non-coding RNA, 154 nt
Filed under: soil metagenome
Description: partial internal transcribed spacer 1
Source: RNAcentral
CCGAGUUUACAACUCCCAAACCCAAUGUGAACAUACCUCUGUUGCCUCGGCGGAUCAGCCCGGCUCUGCCCGGUAAACAGGACGCCCGCCGGAGGUACCGCUAAACUCUGUCUUCAGUAUAUUACUUCUGAGUGGAAAACGCAUAAAUAAAUCA